Molecule: long non-coding RNA, 842 nt
Organism: Scylla paramamosain (green mud crab)
Lineage: Eukaryota; Metazoa; Arthropoda; Malacostraca; Decapoda; Portunidae
Exons: 2
Source: RefSeq, a predicted model, not a curated record
GAGGGAAGGUGGCUCAGGGAGGGAGGUCAAGCCGGUAGUCUGUCUGUGGUAUAGCAGCCGCACACACCUUGUUGGAUUGAAGCCUGUGGAUUUAUUCCCUGUGAGCGCCAGCGACUGUUGGACCGUUCACCCUCACGUUCACCCUCACGUUCACCCUGUCGUUCACCCUCACGUUCACCAUAUGGGACAAGUGAACACACACAAGAAUGAACGAGUGUCAAUAACGAGGCGUAAUAAUAUACCAAGAAGAAAUACCCUUGUGUGACGCCCCUGAGUGGGUGUUACAGUACUCAUAACCUUACCUGCAGCUUAGACAGGUGGGAACAAAACCAAGUAUUCCUAUAUUACAUUGUGUUUUGUCAUAAGCAACAAGACAGAACAGUGGCGGAGGGACAGUAAACUUGUAUUCAGUUAAAUGUGCAGUCAUGGUGAAUAGUUGAGUAACAUACCACUCCGUGCUUACUGUUUUUAGUGUUAUUCAUCUAUCUUAAGUCCUUUAAUGUGCUGACUAAUUAGGAUAAAGAGACUCGUGAGGAGGGAAGUUGUUGUGUGAACAGGACGUAAAUGCUGCGUUGUCUGUGAUGUAUAAAAAUAAGAGUGGGAAGGGGAAGAUUUUACUUACGUUUGUUUCGUUUUAGCAUGAGCGGAAGGUUCCAGCCAGUGUCGUUAGUGCAAUAAAAAUUUUAACAUAGGGAAAAGUGCUACAGAAGCUUAACGUAGAAAUAUUCUGACAUCAAAGAAAAAAGUUGAACACAAAGAUAAUCUCUUUGUCUGAGCAUGAGUGUUUGUAAUCAGAAUAAAAAUGGUUCUGAAAAAAAAAAUAAAAAUGUAUGUAAAAUGUA